RNAcentral lists this ribosomal RNA (523 nucleotides) under Burkholderia lata. RNAcentral describes it as "bacterial SSU rRNA". It matches the Rfam family "Bacterial small subunit ribosomal RNA", at positions 468 to 991 of the family's 1533-position model. Lineage: Bacteria; Pseudomonadati; Pseudomonadota; Betaproteobacteria; Burkholderiales; Burkholderiaceae. The record is from RNAcentral.
GAUGACGGUACCGGAAGAAUAAGCACCGGCUAACUACGUGCCAGCAGCCGCGGUAAUACGUAGGGUGCGAGCGUUAAUCGGAAUUACUGGGCGUAAAGCGUGCGCAGGCGGUUUGCUAAGACCGAUGUGAAAUCCCCGGGCUCAACCUGGGAACUGCAUUGGUGACUGGCAGGCUAGAGUAUGGCAGAGGGGGGUAGAAUUCCACGUGUAGCAGUGAAAUGCGUAGAGAUGUGGAGGAAUACCGAUGGCGAAGGCAGCCCCCUGGGCCAAUACUGACGCUCAUGCACGAAAGCGUGGGGAGCAAACAGGAUUAGAUACCCUGGUAGUCCACGCCCUAAACGAUGUCAACUAGUUGUUGGGGAUUCAUUUCCUUAGUAACGUAGCUAACGCGUGAAGUUGACCGCCUGGGGAGUACGGUCGCAAGAUUAAAACUCAAAGGAAUUGACGGGGACCCGCACAAGCGGUGGAUGAUGUGGAUUAAUUCGAUGCAACGCGAAAAACCUUACCUACCCUUGACAUGGUC